AUGCUCCACAGUCCGACCCUGAGAACAGCCUCAGAUACAACGUGCGCGCUCCCGGCAGCGGCCGUGACCGUGAUCACAAUCUCGCCGAAGAGCUGUCAUUCCUAUCUGGGAGGGGCACCUGGGCGGUGGCGAUCCGCGCCGGUUAAGGCAUCCUGGGAGGGGGGCCGCGGGCGAGUCGGGGUCUGCGGCCGGGAUGCGGGAGGGUCCGUGCGUCGCCGCCCGCGCCCCGCGGCGCGGCUGCUGACGGCGCGCGCGGGCUUCCCCGGCCGCGGGUCUGCGGAGCCAGCCCCGUUACCUAGCGACUCGCUCCGGGGAGCCCAAGCUGACGCGCGCCACGAACGGGGCUGCGGCAGCCGAAGGGAAGGGAGGGGAGGGGGAGCGUCGGGGAGGGGAGGGCGGGCGGCUGCGGCCGGAGCUCCUCCCUCCCACCGCCUCCCCCUCAGCGCUGGAGAGGGGGCCCCGGGGAAGACGUGGCCUCAGCCCGGCCGGGGCCGGUGGGGGCCGGUGGGGGCCGGCGCCGGGCGGGAAGCGGAGGGGGGAGGCACGGAGAUGCUCCUUCCCCCUCACUGGGGACGCAGCAGCAGGUGGCGGCGGCGUGGCCGGCUGAGGCCCGGCGCCCACAGGCUCGCCGAGAUGGGCCCGGCCCGGGCGGGAGCGCGGCGAGUGUGGCUGUGGGCGCGUGGGUGUGUGUGACACGCUCCCACCCACGUGGCGUACAUGGGACCUGAGGACGCGAGUGAAGGAGGAGCCUCCUCCUUCCUUGGUCUCCCUCCCUCCCUCCUUCCUGGACAUUCUGCUCCCUGCGAUGACUGUCUUUCAUCAUGGAAGUACAGGUCGCUCUGCUCCCUGCUCUGAGCUCCUCCUACCUUCCGAGAACAGGAGGUCGCUGGCAGCUACGUGGAGAUCAAACCUCCGCCACCAUCUCCCCUCCCUGGCCCCACCUCAUCUCCCCUGUCUCCUUGCCCGCCUCGUCAGGGGACUUUCCUGUUUCUGCAUUGGGGGCCUCUUAGACUGGGGUUCACAUUCAGGCCCUUUCAGUUGUAUGAUGCUCCUUGAGUUAUUUAACGUCUUCACUAAAACGAAGUGCUUGUCCCCCAAAGUCCUAGCUAAGUACUAGCAUCUAAGGUGUUCCGUGAAUGUGCUCGGCAUGUGUUUGCUGGAAGGUUUGCGGCCUGUCUCUUGAGCCUGUGGGACCUCACCAAAAUACACCCCGGCACCCAGGAAACGGUGCUAUGACAUACGAAACAUAUGCUAGCAGCAGGGACCCCUGCUUUUACAGAUGAGAGAGGUAACUUGCCCAAAUCCACUGGGUGCUUCAAAGCAGAGCUGGGCCCGGAACGCAGGCUUCCUGGUUCCCAGGAACUCAAUACCCCACCACCGCCCCCUCUUUAACACCUGAGAAUAGCAACCACCUGCCAGGUCACCC
Molecule: long non-coding RNA, 1426 nt
Filed under: Felis catus (domestic cat)
Lineage: Eukaryota; Metazoa; Chordata; Mammalia; Carnivora; Felidae
Description: lncRNA (ENSFCAG00000047676.1)
Source: RNAcentral